UACGUAGGGGGCUAGCGUUGUCCGGAAUCAUUGGGCGUAAAGAGCGUGUAGGCGGCCCGGUAAGUCCGCUGUGAAAGUCGGGGGGCUCAACCCUCGAAUGCCGGUGGAUACUGUCGGGCUAGAGUGCGGAAGAGGCGAGUGGAAUUCCUGGUGUAGCGGUGAAAUGCGCAGAUAUCAGGAGGAACACCGGUGGCGAAGGCGGGUCUCUGGGCCGAUACUGACGCUGGAGGAGCGAAAGCGUGGGGAGCGAACAGG
Molecule: ribosomal RNA, 255 nt
Filed under: uncultured bacterium
Lineage: Bacteria
Description: partial 16S ribosomal RNA
Rfam family: Bacterial small subunit ribosomal RNA
Source: RNAcentral